GUGUGUGUGUGUGUGUGUGUGUGUGUGUGUGUGUAUAUGUAUGUAAUAUAGAGAGAGAUAUACAUACACACACACACACACACACACACACACAGUCUG
RNAcentral lists this microRNA precursor (99 nucleotides) under Pelobates cultripes (western spadefoot toad). The record is from RNAcentral. Lineage: Eukaryota; Metazoa; Chordata; Amphibia; Anura; Pelobatidae.